RNAcentral lists this ribosomal RNA (497 nucleotides) under uncultured bacterium. Its description in RNAcentral is "partial 16S ribosomal RNA". It matches the Rfam family "Bacterial small subunit ribosomal RNA", at positions 28 to 507 of the family's 1533-position model. The record is from RNAcentral.
GAUGAACGCUGGCGGCGUGCCUAAUACAUGCAAGUCGAGCGAACAGACGAGGAGCUUGCUCCUCUGACGUUAGCGGCGGACGGGUGAGUAACACGUGGAUAACCUACCUAUAAGACUGGGAUAACUUCGGGAAACCGGAGCUAAUACCGGAUAAUAUAUUGAACCGCAUGGUUCAAUAGUGAAAGACGGUUUUGCUGUCACUUAUAGAUGGAUCCGCGCCGCAUUAGCUAGUUGGUAAGGUAACGGCUUACCAAGGCAACGAUGCGUAGCCGACCUGAGAGGGUGAUCGGCCACACUGGAACUGAGACACGGUCCAGACUCCUACGGGAGGCAGCUGUAGGGAAUCUUCCGCAAUGGGCGAAAGCUUGACGGAGCAACGCCGCGUGAGUGAUGAAGGUCUUCGGAUCGUAAAACUCUGUUAUUAGGGAAGAACAAAUGUGUAAGUAACUAUGCACGUCUUGACGGUACCUAAUCAGAAAGCCACGGCUAACUACGUG